Molecule: long non-coding RNA, 364 nt
Organism: Prionailurus viverrinus (fishing cat)
Lineage: Eukaryota; Metazoa; Chordata; Mammalia; Carnivora; Felidae
Exons: 3
Source: RefSeq, a predicted model, not a curated record
ACACCUGCACAGAGGGGCACUUCAGGUGCCUCUGGGCCUAUGUUUGAGCCACCAUCUAGGGACCAGGAAGCUGGAAAGCUGGAAGCCCCCCUCAUGACCCUUGUCAGAUGAUGAAAUUGACGCUUACGUUCAUGCAAUGAAUGGGUGGUACAAGUCGAACUCCUUCCAGGAUUGCGUAGCUUCUGUCCUAGCCGGGCAUAAAGAUGCUCAUCACAGUGUCGUUUAAAAUGGCAAAGGACCGGAAGCAACCUGGAUGUCCGUCAGCAAGGAGAUGAGCUAUAUUCUCUCCCCUCGAUCUCAGUGUUGAAAUUGCCUGUCGAACUUGAACCAGCCAAAAAUCUAAAUGAAAAACAGGAACAAAAAG